This is a long non-coding RNA of Homo sapiens (human), 649 nucleotides long. RefSeq annotates it as colitis associated IRF1 antisense regulator of intestinal homeostasis. Lineage: Eukaryota; Metazoa; Chordata; Mammalia; Primates; Hominidae. The record is from RefSeq and is marked validated. The transcript is spliced from 4 exons.
GAAAGCGGUCGUGGCCAGGACUGGCGCAGCUGCCGUUUCAGGCGAGGGGCGCAGAAUGCAGCGGCCGCCAGCCUGGAGCGCGGGCCCUGGGGCCGCAACCCGCGCCGGGCGAGGUGGCAGCACACCCUGGGCCCCCCACUCCCCGCCGCAAGUCCUGAGGAUGGCCAGCAGAGAAACAAGAAAAUGGACUCCCUGGCUGCUGGAGAGUUGAAUGCCAGCCACCAGCCAUGGGUGCCAGAGUUUGUAGCCUAUUGGAGGAAAACACACCAAGAUCACCUCUGCAGCCUGCACAGCCGGGCCUUUGGACUCCUGGAUGCUAGAGUGACCUGGGCGCUGAGGAGGGCCCCCGAGCCAGUACCAGGAAAGGAUAGACUCCUGCUUGCAGCAUUCCCAGCAGAGGCAUCGCCUGUGGACACCGCGUCUGUGUCUGUAUAUGGCAGAGCUCCCAGAUAUAUGCACAAGGGAGUGAAAAAAUGUGUUUGCACCCCAGUCUCUAAAAAUUCAACAGCCUGGUUACUUCUGGGUGGUAUAUCGUAGGUGGCUUUAAUACGUGUUAUUUGCUCAUCUGUAUUUCUUACUCUUUGCACAAUUAAACCAUGUUCCUUUUACUUAUGUACAUUUUUAAUAAAAGAAAGUUGUUAAUGACUCA